This 253-nucleotide ribosomal RNA is filed under the name uncultured bacterium. RNAcentral describes it as "partial 16S ribosomal RNA". It matches the Rfam family "Bacterial small subunit ribosomal RNA", at positions 524 to 776 of the family's 1533-position model. The record is from RNAcentral.
UACGUAGGGAGCAAGCGUUGUCCGGAAUCACUGGGCGUAAAGGGCGCGUAGGCGGCCUGAUAAGUAGGGGGUGAAAUCUUGCGGCUUAACCGCAAGGCUGCCUUCUAAACUGUCGGGCUAGAGCACAGUAGAGGCAGGUGGAAUUCCCGGUGUAGCGGUGGAAUGCGUAGAGAUCGGGAAGAACAUCAGUGGCGAAGGCGGCCUGCUGGGCUGUUGCUGACGCUGAGGCGCGACAGCGUGGGGAGCAAACAGG